AUUGAACGCUGGCGGCAGGCCUAACACAUGCAAGUCGAGCGGAUGAAGGGAGCUUGCUCCUGGAUUCAGCGGCGGACGGGUGAGUAAUGCCUAGGAAUCUGCCUGGUAGUGGGGGAUAACGUCCGGAAACGGGCGCUAAUACCGCAUACGUCCUGAGGGAGAAAGUGGGGGAUCUUCGGACCUCACGCUAUCAGAUGAGCCUAGGUCGGAUUAGCUAGUUGGUGGGGUAAAGGCCUACCAAGGCGACGAUCCGUAACUGGUCUGAGAGGAUGAUCGGUCACACUGGAACUGAGACACGGUCCAGACUACUACGGGAGGCAGCAGUGGGGAAUAUUGGACAAUGGGCGAAAGCCUGAUCCAGCCAGGCCGCGUGUGUGAAGAAGGUCUUCGGAUUGUAAAGAACUUUAAGUUGGGAGGAAGGGCAGUAAGUUAAUACCUUGCUGUUUUGACGUUACCAACAGAAUAAGCACCGGCUAACUUCGUG
Molecule: ribosomal RNA, 484 nt
Filed under: uncultured bacterium
Lineage: Bacteria
Description: partial 16S ribosomal RNA
Rfam family: Bacterial small subunit ribosomal RNA
Source: RNAcentral